GACGAACGCUGGCGGCGUGCUUAACACAUGCAAGUCGAACGGAAAGGCCUGCUUUCCCUUGUGGAUUGCGGGUACUCGCGUGGCGAACGGGUGAGUAACACGUGAGUGAUCUGCCCCCAACUUGGGUAUAAGCCUGGGAAACUGGGUCUAAUUCCCGAUAGGACUGCAGGGUGGUGCGUGUGGUGGAAACCGAUUUUCUAGUGGUUGGGGAUGAGCUCGCGGCUAUCAGCUUGUUGGUGGGGUAAUGGCCUACCAAGGCGGCGACGGGUAGCCGGCCUGAGAUGGUGGACGGCCACAUUGGGACUGAGACACGGCCCAGACUCCUACGGGAGGCAGCAGUGGGGAAUAAUGCGCGAUGGGCGGAAGCCAGAUGCAGCGACGCCGCGUGGGGGAUGACGGGCUUCGGGUUGUAAACUCCUUUCGACCGCGAGGAAGCCACCUGGUUGGAAGGGUGGUGACGGUAGUGGGAGAAGAAGCACCGGCUAACUACGUG
Molecule: ribosomal RNA, 493 nt
Filed under: uncultured bacterium
Lineage: Bacteria
Description: partial 16S ribosomal RNA
Rfam family: Bacterial small subunit ribosomal RNA
Source: RNAcentral